GCUGUAGCUCAGUGGCAGAGUGCUUGCCUAGCAUGUGUGAGGCACUGGGUUCGAUUCUCAGCACUGCA
Molecule: transfer RNA, 68 nt
Filed under: Marmota monax (woodchuck)
Lineage: Eukaryota; Metazoa; Chordata; Mammalia; Rodentia; Sciuridae
Description: tRNA.Ala
Source: RNAcentral